UAAUUUCUGAUUCCACGGUUAACAUUUUCCCUGUGUGUACUGACAACUGUCUCAGCGAUGAGGAGGAAGCCCAUUGAGAUCUCCCAGUCCAUUUGCUUUUAUCUGCCCUGUGAUCUGUCAGCAUCCUCCUUGCUCCUCAACGGGAGAAGGCAGAUUUGUCUUGGACACCAUGAUGGACCUAUAAGAAGAAGAUACAGCAGUGUCCUCAGAACCCUUCCUAAAAAGGCAAUCAAAAGCCCCGUCAAAAGCCCAACUCAGCUGGAAUGGAAAUGGAAAUGCAAAGACAGCGUGUCCUCUAGACUGGAUGAUUCACCCGUUGGAAACUAUCUCGGGCUCCCAAGAUAAUUGUGGAAUGUCAGUUCACUGCACAGAGUGCAAGUUCAGCACGGAAGGGUAUGAGACAUGAACUUCACAAGGAGGCAAAAGUUAAAAGAAGUCAAGUUCAAUUACAGGAGGGAGUCUCCAAUUCCCAAGCUGGUAUACAAGGAAAGGGUCUUCCCUGCCCCCAAGCUGGUAAACACGAGAGAAAAGGAGUGCUGACCUAACCAUCUUACUCUUCAAGAUUUCUAAGAUGUUACAGUCUGCCUCUAAGUUCACACACACACACACACACACACACACACACACACACACACAAAAGGAAUUAACCUGCAUUAUUUUCUCACAGAUUAACAUAGAAACACCACCUGUCUAAAAAACUACAUUGUGCUGAUGAUAAGUUAAAACCCAAAUAUUCUUGGAACCAAGAACGUGAUUUUAGAAGGUUAUAGAUUAUGAUCAACGUGAGGGGAUUCUUGACUUUCAGUUUUGGAGGAAAUCGGCUAAUUACACCAGCUGAGAGCAGAAUGUUUUGGUCACUUCAGUACUUAGAAUCCCCUGACAAGGAAGUUAGAAGUUUCAGGGAACUGUGAGAAUCUCUAAAGAGAAGCACUUUCAUGUUGCCUUGUGUGGAUCCUAAGUUAGAAAACUGCUACAAUGCAGCUGCAAAGAGUGAGUGAGACACAUGCGCAGAGCCCUGGAUGGAAGCAUGUCAGCAGCUCAGGUCCCAUCACCAAGGGGCCUGGCUUAAUGUCACAUUUUCUUUAAUCUCCGUAGCCCAUAGACUUGAUUGGCUCUCGACAUUAUACUUCCUUCUGUUUUGAUAUUAAACCUACCACACUUGAUGUGGGUCA
This is a long non-coding RNA of Mus musculus (house mouse), 1172 nucleotides long. RefSeq annotates it as RIKEN cDNA 4930556A17 gene. The record is from RefSeq and is a predicted model, not a curated record. NCBI's taxonomy places the organism in Eukaryota, Metazoa, Chordata, Mammalia, Rodentia, Muridae. The transcript is spliced from 4 exons.